This 1490-nucleotide ribosomal RNA is filed under the name uncultured Bordetella sp. Its description in RNAcentral is "partial 16S-23S ribosomal RNA intergenic spacer". It matches the Rfam family "Bacterial small subunit ribosomal RNA". Lineage: Bacteria; Pseudomonadati; Pseudomonadota; Betaproteobacteria; Burkholderiales; Alcaligenaceae. The record is from RNAcentral.
AGUUUGAUUCUGGGCUCAGAUUGAACGCUGGCGGGAUGCUUUACACAUGCAAGUCGAAUGGCAGCACGGACUUCAGUCUGGUGGCGAGUGGCGAACGGGUGAGUAGUUUAUCGGAACGUGCCUAGUAGCGGGGGAUAAUCUGGCGCGAAAGCGGUAGCUAAUACCGUACAUUAGCCUUCGGGGGAAAGCGGUGACCUUCGGGCCUCGUACCAUUAGAGCGGCCGAUAUCGGAUUAGCUAGUUGGUGGGGUAACGGCUCUACUACAGUGACGAUCCGUAGCUGGUUUGAGAGGACGACCAGCCACACUGGGACUGAGAGACACGGCCCAGACUCCUACGGAGCGGGCGCAGGGGAAUUUGGACAAUGGGGGAAACCCUGAUCCAGCCAUCUCGGCGUGUGCGAUGAAGGCCUUCGGGUUGAAAAGCACUUUUGGCAGGAAAGAAACGGCACGGAUAAUACCCUGCAACUGACGGUACCUCGUAGAAUAAGCACCGGCUAACUACGUGCCAGCAGCCGCGGUAAUACGUAGGGUGCAAGCGUUAAUCGGAAUUACUGGGCGUAAAGCGUGCGCAGGCGGUUCGGAAAGAAAGAUGUGAAAUCCCAGAGCUUAACUUUGGAACUGCAUUUUGAACUACCGAGCUAGAGUGUGUCAGAGGGAGGUGGAAUUCGCGUGUAGCAGUGAAAUGCGUAGAUAUGCGGAGGAACACCGAUGGCGAAGGCAGCCUCCUGGGAUAACACGACGCCUGCGUACGAAAGCGUGGUGAGCAAACAGGAUUAGAUACUCCUGGUAGUCCACGCCCCAAACGAUGUCAACUAGCUGUUAAAUUUCGGGCCUUGGUAGCGCAGCUAACGCGUGAAGUUGACCGCCUGGGGAGUACGGUCGCAAGAUUAAAACUCAAAGGAAUUGACGGGGACUCCGCACAAGCGGUGGAUGAUGGAUUAAUUCGAUGCAACGCGAAAAACCUUACCUACCCUUGACAUGCCUGAUCCCGAAGAGAUUGGGGAGUGCUCGCAAGAGAACCGGAACACAGGUGCUGCAUGGCUGUCGUCAGCUCGUGUCGUGAGAUGUUGGGUUAAGUCCCGCAACGAGCGCAACCUUGUCAUUAGUUGCUACGAAAGGGCAAUUUCCAUCGAGACUGCUGGUGACAAACCGGAGGAAGGUGGGGAUGACGUCAAGUCCAUGGCCCUUAUGGGUAGGGCUUCGAAGCACACGUCAUACAAUGGUCGGGACAGAGGGUCGCCAACCCGCGAGGGGGAGCCAAUCCCAGAACCCGAUCGUAGUCCGGAUCGCAGUCUGCAACUCGACUGCGGAAGUCGGAAUCGCUAGUAAUCGCGGAUCAGCAUGUCGCGGUGAAUACGUUCCCGGGUCUUGUACACACCGCCUGUCACACCAUGGAGUGGGUUUUACCAGAAGUAGUUAGCCUAACCGGUAAGGAGGGCGAUUACCACGGUAGAGGAUCUAUGACUGGGGUGAAGUCGUAACAAGGUAG